GACGAACGCUGGCGGCGUGCUUAACACAUGCAAGUCGAACGCUGAAGCUCAGCUUUUGUUGGGUGGAUGAGUGGCGAACGGGUGAGUAACACGUGAGUAACCUGCCUCCUUCUUUGGGAUAACGCCCGGAAACGGGUGCUAAUACUGGAUAUUCACUGGUCUUCGCAUGGGGGUUGGUGGAAAGGGUUUUUCUGGUGGGGGAUGGGCUCGCGGCCUAUCAGCUUGUUGGUGGGGUGAUGGCCUACCAAGGCUUUGACGGGUAGCCGGCCUGAGAGGGUGACCGAUCACAUUGGGACUGAGAUACGGCCCAGACUCCUACGGGAGGCAGCAGUGGGGAAUAUUGCACAAUGGGCGCAAGCCUGAUGCAGCGACGCCGCGUGAGGGAUGGAGGCCUUCGGGUUGUGAACCUCUUUCGCUCAUGGUCAAGCCGCAACAAUGGUUGUGGUGAGGGUAGUGGGUAAAGAAGCGCCGGCUAACUACGUG
Molecule: ribosomal RNA, 483 nt
Filed under: uncultured bacterium
Lineage: Bacteria
Description: partial 16S ribosomal RNA
Rfam family: Bacterial small subunit ribosomal RNA
Source: RNAcentral